CGCGCGGGUUCUAUUUUGUUGGUUUCUAGGACCGCCGUAAUGAUUAAUAGGGACAGUCGGGGGCAUCAGUAUUCAAUAGUCAGAGGUGAAAUUCUUGGAUCUAUUGAAGACUAACUACUGCGAAAGCAUUUGUCAAGGAUGUUUUCAUUAAUCAGGAACGAAAGUUAGGGGAUCGAAGACGAUCAGAUACCGUCGUAGUCUUAACCAUAAACUAUGCCGACUAGGGAUCGGACGAUGUUAUUUUUUGACUCGUUCGGCACCUUACGAGAAAUCAAAGUGCUUGGGCUCCAGGGGGAGUAUGGUCGCAAGGCUGAAACUUAAAGAAAUUGACGGAAGGGCACCACCAGGGGUGGAGCCUGCGGCUUAAUUUGACUCAACACGGGGAAACUC
This 390-nucleotide ribosomal RNA is filed under the name fungal sp. RNAcentral describes it as "SSU rRNA". It matches the Rfam family "Eukaryotic small subunit ribosomal RNA", at positions 826 to 1216 of the family's 1831-position model. The record is from RNAcentral. Lineage: Eukaryota; Fungi.